This is a long non-coding RNA of Gadus macrocephalus (Pacific cod), 675 nucleotides long. RefSeq lists it as uncharacterized. The transcript has 4 exons. The record is from RefSeq and is a predicted model, not a curated record. NCBI's taxonomy places the organism in Eukaryota, Metazoa, Chordata, Actinopteri, Gadiformes, Gadidae.
CUCAACACACAUCUGUGUAUUCAAGUCCCUCUGGUGAAAUAGAGGAGGGCAGUUCAGUGACUCUGAGCUGCAGCAGUGAUGCCAACCCAGCAGCUAACUACACCUGGUUCAAGAACAACCAACCUCUGCUCUGGGAACCAAGUCAACCUCAUACCUUCCCCUCAGUCCGCCCUGAAGACAGAGGAACGUACCGCUGUCACGCAGAGAACAAAUAUGGACAACUGAGCUCUAACUCAAUAUUCAUGGAUGUCCAGUACUUUCCAAAGACCCCCUCAGUGACCGUGAGUCCCUCUGGUGAAAUAGAGUGGGGCAGUUCAGUGACUCUGAGCUGCAGCAGUGAUGCCAACCCAGCAGCUAACUACACCUGGUUCAGGGAACAUGAAGACUCAGUGAAAGAAUCAGGACAGAACUACACCAUCACUAAUAUCACAUCUGAGCAUGGAGGAAACUAUUACUGCCAAGCUCAUAAUGCAAUCGGACUUACUUAUUCCACCUUUUUGUUUAUUAAAGUGAUAUCAUCAUCGCAUAUAGCAAUGGUAGCUGUAACAACCAUUGGUGUCUUUGUGGUCACCAUACUCCUCAUCGUCUUCCUCUUGAUGAGAAGAAAGAGGGCCUCCAGAAAAGAAUGUGGACAGGGAGGAAGGCCAGAUACCGUGGAGGAGGUGAGACACAGGA